CCAGACUCCUACGGGAGGCAGCAGUGGGGAAUAUUGCACAAUGGGCGAAAGCCUGAUGCAGCAACGCCGCGUGAAGGAAGAAGGCCUUCGGGUCGUAAACUUCUGUCCUUGGGGAAGAAGAACUGACGGUACCCAAGGAGGAAGCCCCGGCUAACUACGUGCCAGCAGCCGCGGUAAUACGUAGGGGGCAAGCGUUAUCCGGAAUUAUUGGGCGUAAAGAGUACGUAGGUGGCAACCUAAGCGCAGGGUUUAAGGCAAUGGCUCAACCAUUGUUCGCCCUGCGAACUGGGAUGCUUGAGUGCAGGAGAGGAAAGCGGAAUUCCUAGUGUAGCGGUGAAAUGCGUAGAUAUUAGGAGGAACACCAGUGGCGAAGGCGGCUUUCUGGACUGUAACUGACACUGAGGUACGAAAGCGUGGGGAGCAAACAGGAUUAGAUACCCGAGUA
This 445-nucleotide ribosomal RNA is filed under the name uncultured bacterium. RNAcentral describes it as "bacterial SSU rRNA". It matches the Rfam family "Bacterial small subunit ribosomal RNA", at positions 331 to 792 of the family's 1533-position model. The record is from RNAcentral.